Molecule: ribosomal RNA, 2210 nt
Filed under: Passandra heros
Lineage: Eukaryota; Metazoa; Arthropoda; Insecta; Coleoptera; Passandridae
Description: eukaryotic LSU rRNA
Rfam family: Eukaryotic large subunit ribosomal RNA
Source: RNAcentral
UAGUAGCUGCGAGCGAAUAGGGAUAAGCUCAGCACCGAAUCCCGUGGCCGAUACCGGACGCUGGGAAAUGUGGUGUUAGGGAGGAUCCAUUUAUCUCGAGGUUGUGCGGUGCGUCCAAGUCCUUCUUGAAUGGGGCCACAGCCCAUAGAGGGUGCCAGGCCCGUAGUGACCAUUGCCAAUUGCGAGAGGGUCUCUCCUCAGAGUCGGGUUGCUUGAGAGUGCAGCCCUAAGUGGGUGGUAAACUCCAUCUAAAGCUAAAUAUGACCACGAGACCGAUAGCGAACAAGUACCGUGAGGGAAAGUUGAAAAGCACUUUGAAGAGAGAGUUCAAGAGUACGUGAAACCGUUCAGGGGUAAACCUGAGAAACCCGGAAGGUCGAAAGGAGAAAUUCAUUCGUGUUUCGAUAUUAGCAAUAGAUAAUUGUAUGACAAAUGAGGUACGCCAAAUUUGCAUCUUUUGUUUUGUUGAACUAAUAUUGAAUGCGUGCACUUUUCUCCUAGUAGGACGUCGCGAUCCGUUGAGUGUCAGUCUAAGGUCUAUAGUGGAGACUAUCUAAAUAGUUUUUUACUAUCUUUGGAUAGACCUAUAGUAACCCGGCUGGCUCGCUCGACGGUAUAUAGAUGGUGCGGAGCCGCGACAAUUUUGAAUUCGCGUUCAGCCUAUAGCAAGUAUUACGUAUGGAUUUUAUAUUAUCAGUAAUCGGACCUAGUGCCGAUGCUGGUACCAAACGACUGUUGGCUAUAGUGUUCUUGAACAGACUCCGAUUUGAAACACCGAUCUGCGGCGCUAUAGCUUUGGGUACUUUCAGGACCCGUCUUGAAACACGGACCAAGGAGUCUAGCAUGUGCGCAAGUCAUUGGGAAUAAAAUAAACCUAAAGGCGCAAUGAAAGUAAAGGUUUACCUUGCGUGAACCUAGGGAAGAUGAAUAGUUUGCUUAUUUAUAGGUGGCUAUUCCGCAUUCCCGGGGCGUCUCAUUCUCAUUAUGAGAAGAGGCGCACCAAGAGCGUACACGCUGGGACCCGAAAGAUGGUGAACUAUGCCUGGUCAGGACGAAGUCAGGGGAAACCCUGAUGGAGGUCCGUAGCGAUUCUGACGUGCAAAUCGAUCGUCGGAACUGGGUAUAGGGGCGAAAGACUAAUCGAACCAUCUAGUAGCUGGUUCCCUCCGAAGUUUCCCUCAGGAUAGCUGGCGCUCAUUGCGUACGAGUUUCAUCCGGUAAAGCGAAUGAUUAGAGGCAUUGGGGUCGAAACGACCUCAACCUAUUCUCAAACUUUAAAUGGGUGAGAUCUUCGGCUUGCUCAAAUUUAUGAAGCCGUAAGAUAAGAAUCAGAGUGCCAAGUGGGCCAUUUUUGGUAAGCAGAACUGGCGCUGUGGGAUGAACCAAACGCUGAGUUAAAGCGCCUAAAUCGACGCUUAUGGGAUACCAUGAAAGGCGUUGGUAACUUAAGACAGCAGGACGGUGGCCAUGGAAGUCGGAAUCCGCCAAGGAGUGUGUAACAACUCACCUGCCGAAGUUACUAGCCCUGAAAAUGGAUGGCGCUGAAGCGUCGUGCUUAUACUCAGCCGUCAGAGGCAUGUGCGGUCACAUUUUCAUUUUUUUUUGUUAAUGGGCCAUGAAGCCCUGACGAGUAGGAGGGUCGCGGCGGUGUGCGCAGAAGGGCUGGCCGUGAGGCCGUCUGGAGCCGCCGUCGGUGCAGAUCUUGGUGGUAGUAGCAAAUACUCCAGCGAGGCCCUGGAGGACUGACGUGGAGAAGGGUUUCGUGUGAACAGCCGUUGCACACGAGUCAGUCGAUCCUAAGCCCUAGGCGAAAGCCGAUGUUGAUGUGGUGUAAGUUCAUAUAUAAAAUAUAUUAUUAUUAUUAAAAAUAUUUGUACACACCCAUUGGGCGAAAGGGAAUCCGGUUCCUAUUCCGGAACCCGGCAGCGGAACCGUCAAUUUAUCGGGCCCUCAUUGAGAGUUCGUCGGGGUAACCCAAAAGGACCCGGAGACGCCGUCGGGAGAUCCGGGAAGAGUUUUCUUUUCUGCAUGAGCGUUCGAGUUCCAUGGAAUCCUCUAGCAGGGAGAUAUGGUUUGGAACGCGAAGAGCACCGCAGUUGCAGCGGUGUCCGGAUCUUCCCCUCGGACCUUGAAAAUCCGGGAGAGGGCCACGUGGAGGCGUCGCGCCGGUUCGUACCCAUAUCCGCAGCAGGUCUCCAAGGUAAAGAGCC